UAGCUCAGUCAGUUGAGCAUGGCGCUAACAACGCUAAGGUCGCGGGUUCAGUUCCCGU
This 58-nucleotide transfer RNA is filed under the name Apaloderma vittatum (bar-tailed trogon). It matches the Rfam family "tRNA", at positions 8 to 63 of the family's 71-position model. Rfam says of the family: Transfer RNA (tRNA) molecules are approximately 80 nucleotides in length. Their secondary structure includes four short double-helical elements and three loops (D, anti-codon, and T loops). Further hydrogen bonds mediate the characteristic L-shaped molecular structure. tRNAs have two regions of fundamental functional importance: the anti-codon, which is responsible for specific mRNA codon recognition, and the 3' end, to which the tRNAs corresponding amino acid is attached (by aminoacyl-tRNA synthetases). tRNAs cope with the degeneracy of the genetic code in two manners: having more than one tRNA (with a specific anti-codon) for a particular amino acid; and 'wobble' base-pairing, i.e. permitting non-standard base-pairing at the 3rd anti-codon position. Lineage: Eukaryota; Metazoa; Chordata; Aves; Trogoniformes; Trogonidae. The record is from Rfam by way of RNAcentral.